UGAACGCUAGCGGGAGGCCUAACACAUGCACACCGCGCGGUAGAGUUUCUUCGGAAACUUGAGAGCGGCGCACGGGUGCGUAACACGUGUGCAACCUACCUUUAUCUGGGGGAUAGCCUUUCGAAAGGAAGAUUAAUACCCCAUAAUAUAAUGAUUGGCAUCAAUUAUUAUUGAAAACUCCGGUGGAUAGAGAUGGGCACGCGCAAGAUUAGAUAGUUGGUGAGGUAACGGCUCACCAAGUCAAUGAUCUUUAGGGGUCCUGAGAGGGAGAUCCCCCACACUGGGACUGAGACACGGACCAGACUCCUACGGGAGGCAGCAGUGAGGAAUAUUGGACAAUGGGUGAGAGCCUGAUCCAGCCAUCCCGCGUGAAGGAUGACGGUCCUAUGGAUUGUAAACUUCUUUUGUACAGGGAUAAACCUACCCUCGUGAGGGUAGCUGAAGGUACUGUACGAAUAAGCACCGGCUAACUCCGUG
Molecule: ribosomal RNA, 477 nt
Filed under: uncultured bacterium
Lineage: Bacteria
Description: partial 16S ribosomal RNA
Rfam family: Bacterial small subunit ribosomal RNA
Source: RNAcentral